UGGACCGUGCUCGGCUCGCUUCCCCUGGCAGUAGUCGGCGGAAGCGAGGCGGUGGAGUGGGACAACGGUGACCCGAUCGCGUGCAAGGAGCCCCCGCGGCCGCUGCGGUUCGAGAGCACGAAUCUUGAGGUGGUGCUGUGGGUGGACGGCCGCGUGCUGGCCGUGGACCUCGACAGCCGCCGGGUGAGGGAGGUCCGGUUCAAUGGGCCGGCUCCGGGUCACGACGAAGACUACGUGUCUUACAUCAGCACCGUUGCUCCCGUGGCUCCCGUGGCGUCCGGCUAACGGACGGUGACGCUUCCAUCCCCCGUGAACAUAUGCACUACUUUUAAUACUCGAUAUGACUAUUGAUGCCAUGAAUAAUGUGACAUUUGGGAUACUCGUAUUAUGAAACACUCGCGUGUUGAUCAUUGCUCUAAUCAAUUGCUGUGACAAAUAACAUGAUUCCUUCCGUCUUUUAUAAAUGUUUUUUCUUGGUUGGAGUGUUGUUUUCUUUGUCUAUCGUGAAGAUUGUUGGGUCCACAUGAUGGCAGCUUCCGCUUGUGUUUGAGUGCUCGGCUUCUUCUCUUUCGUGAUAAAGAACCGACUUGGAAUCUCUAAUCUCGCUGAUGAAUCAGAUUCUUGAUGAUGGGCUGAUCCACGUGUUUGUACUCUUCUGCCCAUUCCGUAUAGGAAACGUCUUUUGCUCGGAGCAUCGAAUAUAAAUGGAAUAAAUAAUUAUGCUUAUUAUUUUUAAAAAUUAUAUUAAAAUCUUUAUAUUUACAAAAAUAAAAUAUUUAAUUUCGUACUCUAAUAAAAUUUAUUUUUUUUAAUUUUUAAUUAUGUAAAAUUAUCUUUGUAUAGAUAUCUCAAUAUUUUUAAUCAAUUAUGUAAAAUUAUCUUUCGAUCGUAAUAUAAUUUUUAAAAAUAUAAAAAAUCAAAAUAUUAAAAAUAAUUAAUUAUAGAGAAUAAUAUAUAAUUAGUUAUCGUUCUUUUGUCGAAGCCUAUUUACAUAAAUCACAAUUUAAUUUCUAAUUUCAAUUUUAUGAGUUAAAUAUUAAAUUUUAUUUACACAUACUAUUAACUUUAAUAUUUAAAAUAUUGGUUGAUGAUCAAAUUAAUUUAACCUGUCUUGGAAAGAAAAUUAGCUUUCAAAUUAGGCCUCCCCGAUGGGCUCUUAGUGUCAGGAGUCUCGAGUUGGACGAAGACAUAAGACAUAAAAUUCCUAUUCGAGAUCCUAACUUAAGUGUUUUUUUGGACUAAUGUUACAUAUGCACAAAUAAUAACUAUCCCUUCGAGGAUUUGUUUAUAGAGGAUUCAAUUUAGGUAAAUCAUUUGUGUCAAUUAGGAUAAAUUUUUUUAAGAUGAUACAUAAUCAAAAGGAUAUUUGUAGUUUUGAUUUGGGGCCAAAGUGACAGUGAGAUUGGCUCAUUUUGUGGAGACGACUUAUUAGAAUCUCCCAAUUCACUUGAUAAAUUCUCUCACCUUCUUCUUGCAUAUUUUAAAUUUAAUUUCUUCUCACAUACAUUUACUAUAAAAUAUAUUUACGCACAGUUACGAUGUGAAUUCGUUUUUUUUUCUUUUUUCUUUUGAGAAAAUAAAUUAGAUUUAGAAGAAGGAUAAUAAAAAGGGAAUGGAAUGGUGCGCGACGGGACAAGCAGUAGAAGCCCGGACAAGCAGCGAUGGAGGCGAAGGGCCGUGAUGGCCCCCCAGCUUCGGCAAGCGUCGACGCGGCGGUGGCGGCGGCCGCAGCGGCGCCGUUACUCAUGGCCGAAACCCUAGCUGAAGCUCCCCGGAGGAGAGCCAGCGGUUCUAAGAGGAAAGCCUCGGCCUCAUCGUCCUCCACCCCCGUGAAGCGCCAGGCCAAGGAGAGAAACCUUCUCCACCACCUCUUCCCCGUCCAUAACGGUCCCUGCACCCGAGCUCGGCAAUCCCCCCACAAGCACGCGGCUGCCUCCCAUAGGUCUGUGGAGCAUGCGGCGGCCUCCGCGUGGGCGUCGGAGGCUAGAGGCACGGACGCUUCCGCCUCGGGAGGCCCGAUCAAAGCGGAGGAAGAGGAGGAGGUCGAGGAGCCGCUCGUGGAUGUGGAGUUUGAGGCCGUUCGAUCUAGAGGUGUCGACGUUCAUGCCGUCCCUACGGCUGCCGGUGAGCUCUCUGACCAAAAUUGGGAUCUUGGUGACAAGGAAACCUUCGUAAUUGGUAUUAGGUAUUCUGUCCACUGCUAAUUUUGUUUAUUUUUCUUGCUUGUUUGAACUAGGGUUUCUUCUUUUUUCCCAAUUUGAAUUGUACUAGGUAGGAGAGAAUGCUUCUUCUUUCAAAGCAUGAUCUUUGUAUGCAGUUUAAUUACGUCGAAGAUGGUGGAGAACUAACUUGAUUCAUUAAGAACAGUAUUUUAUAUUCGGGAUCAAAUCCUAAUGGGGAACCGCUUUUUCUUAAUGAACUGUUUGUAUCAGGAAAGACUAGGCAUUUUAGUGUAUAUGCGAAAUGAUUUCCAUAUCAUCUGGUUCUUGUAGGCUGGUUCUCAUGGAAAGUGAUCCACCCCGUUGAGAAGCAUAUGCUGCCCUCAUUUUUCAGUGGAAAGUCUGAGAACCGGACACCUGAAGUGUACAUGGAAAUUCGGAAUUCUAUCAUUAAGAAAUUUCAUUCUGACCCACAGACACAGGUGGAACUCAAAGAUUUCUCAGAGUUGUCUGUUGGAGAUAUGGAUGCAAGACAAGAAAUCUUGGAAUUCUUGGACCAUUGGGGUCUUAUAAAUUUCCAUCCUUUUCCCCCGUCUGAGAACGAAGCAAGCAAAUCUGAUGCCGAUGACAGAGAUAAAACUUCAACUUUGGUCGAUAAGAUGUAUCAGUUUGAAACAAUUCAGUCAUUUCCCCGUCUUGCUACGAAGAAAGAAGAGUCCUUGGUACCUGCGGUGCCCCCUUGCUUGCUUCCGGAGUCUGCCCUUCUUGAUGAUUUGAUUAGGCCAGUUGGUCCUUCUGUUGAGUACCACUGCAACUCCUGCUCAGCUGAUUGCUCUAGAAAGCGCUUCCAUUGCCAAAAGCAGGUUAGUUGGUCUCCUACGCUGGUUAAUAUUGGCUAUCAAGUGUGUAUGCCACUUCAACAAUGUCUGACAGUCUUUUCUUUUUGUGUCAAUACACGGAGCCAUGCAGUCCAAAAUUAUUUAUAUUACUCUCUCAAAUUCUUAAAUUGAUGGCUGAUGGCAAUAUCUUUGUUGUUCUUUUAACCCACCAAAGUGUAUAGCUAUUUUUGUUUAUUCAUAUCCUUAAAUUUUUCUCAUCAAAUUCAAAAUCAUGAUUUUACUUUUUUUAGGAUACAUGAUCUUAGUAAACGAUAAUGGUCAGGUUGUCUUUCUUGUCUAUGGUAAAUAUUUUGUUGAGUUGCAGCAAACUAGGAAAGUAGACUUCCUAGUUACUUUUGUCCAUCAAUUCAUUAUUUUUAUUGAGUUCUUCAUUCAGAAACAAAAAUUAUUAUAGCUUCUUAUUGAAAAAGGUAAAUGGAUCAUGGAUUUGGAAGCAGAGGUUGUGUGAGUCUAACUUCCUAAUGCUACUUAAUUGAAGAUAUGUU
This 3543-nucleotide long non-coding RNA is filed under the name Musa acuminata (dwarf banana). Its description in RNAcentral is "long non-coding RNA (MACU_LNC004249)". The record is from RNAcentral. Lineage: Eukaryota; Viridiplantae; Streptophyta; Magnoliopsida; Zingiberales; Musaceae.